CUACGGGUUGCAGCAGUCGAGAAUCUUCCGCAAUGGACGAAAGUCUGACGGAGCGACGCCGCGUGCGGGAUGAAGGCCUUCGGGUUGUAAACCGCUGUCAGUGGGGAGGAAAUGCAUCAGGGUUCUCCCUGGUGUUUGACCGAUCCGCAGAGGAAGCGCAGGCAAGUUCGUGCCAGCAGCCGCGGUAACACGAACUGCGCGAACGUUAUUCGGAAUCACUGGGCUUAAAGAGUUCGUAGGCGGCCUUUCAAGUCGGGUGUGAAAUCCCUCGGCUCAACCGAGGAAUUGCGCCUGAUACUGUUGGGCUUGAGGGGGAUAGGGGUGAGCGGAACUGAUGGUGGAGCGGUGAAAUGCGUUGAUAUCAUCAGGAACACCGGUGGCGAAGGCGGCUCACUGGAUCUCUUCUGACGCUGAGGAACGAAAGCUAGGGGAGCGAACGGGAUUAGAUACCCUAGUAGUC
Molecule: ribosomal RNA, 460 nt
Filed under: uncultured bacterium
Lineage: Bacteria
Description: partial 16S ribosomal RNA
Rfam family: Bacterial small subunit ribosomal RNA
Source: RNAcentral